This 250-nucleotide transfer RNA is filed under the name Marmota monax (woodchuck). RNAcentral's name for it is "tRNA.Ile". The record is from RNAcentral. Lineage: Eukaryota; Metazoa; Chordata; Mammalia; Rodentia; Sciuridae.
GGAUAUAUAGCUCUGUGGUAGAGUAUGUAAUUAAUAUGCAUGAGGCCUUAUGUUUGAUUUCCAGCACUACAAUAUAUAUAUAUAUAUAUAUAUAUAUAUAUAUAUAUAUAAAUUUUUAAAAGCAUUUUAAGGUUUCUUGUUUUAAUAGUUUUUUGUUUUGUUUUGUUUCGUUUUGUUUAAGUUAUAGAUGAACACAAUACCUUUAUUUAUUUAUUUUAUGUGGUGCUGAGGAUCGAACCCAGUGCCUUCU